GACGAACGCUGGCGGCGUGCCUAAUACAUGCAAGUUGAGCGCUGAAGGUUGGUACUUGUACCAACUGGAUGAGCAGCGAACGGGUGAGUAACGCGUGGGGAAUCUGCCUUUGAGCGGGGGACAACAUUUGGAAACGAAUGCUAAUACCGCAUAAAAACUUUAAACACAAGUUUUAAGUUUGAAAGAUGCAAUUGCAUCACUCAAAGAUGAUCCCGCGUUGUAUUAGCUAGUUGGUGAGGUAAAGGCUCACCAAGGCGAUGAUACAUAGCCGACCUGAGAGGGUGAUCGGCCACAUUGGGACUGAGACACGGCCCAAACGCCUACGGGAGGCAGCAGUAGGGAAUCUUCGGCAAUGGACGAAAGUCUGACCGAGCAACGCCGCGUGAGUGAAGAAGGGUGUCGGAUCGUAAAACUCUGUUGGUAGAGAAGAACGUUGGUGAGAGUGGAAAGCUCAUCAAGUGACGGUAACUACCCAGAAAGGGACGGCUAACUACGUG
Molecule: ribosomal RNA, 497 nt
Filed under: uncultured bacterium
Lineage: Bacteria
Description: partial 16S ribosomal RNA
Rfam family: Bacterial small subunit ribosomal RNA
Source: RNAcentral